CGCGCGUGGGGCGUGUGCGGGCUGCCGCGUGCGUGCGUGGGGUGUGUGCGGGCCCCGCCGUGUGCGCUACACGUUGAUCUUAUUCGAUCGGGCCGGGACGGCGCCCGCCCGGCCCGAGAUGAGAAGACCCCUCCGGCGAAGCCUGCGGGCGCUGUGCGGGAGCAGAUCGGGGCGGCGCGGCCGGCGCGGCCGCGGGUCGGACGUGAUGACUUGAUCAGAUAGACGAGGCGGAGCUGCCGCCUGUGAGUGCUGAUGCGAUUCUGAUCCGA
Alligator mississippiensis (American alligator) is the source of this 269-nucleotide small nucleolar RNA. It matches the Rfam family "Small Cajal body-specific RNA 2", at positions 52 to 420 of the family's 420-position model. The record is from Rfam. NCBI's taxonomy places the organism in Eukaryota, Metazoa, Chordata, Crocodylia, Alligatoridae.